AAUCAACGCUGGCGGCGUGCCUCAGACAUGCAAGUCGAACGCGAAAGUUUCCUUCGGGAGACAAGUAGAGUGGCGCACGGGUGAGUAACACGUAGGUAAUCUACCUUUGGAUGGGGAAUAACAACCGGAAACGGUUGCUAAUACCGCAUAAUGCAGCGGCACCUAAUGGUGACAGUUGUUAAAGCGGGGGAUCGAAAGACCUCGCGUCUGAAGAGGAGCCUGCGGCGGAUUAGCUAGUUGGUAAGGUAAUGGCUUACCAAGGCUACGAUCCGUAACCGGCCUGAGAGGGCGGUCGGUCACACUGACACUGACAUACGGGUCAGACUCCUACGGGAGGCAGCAGUCGGGAAUUUUGGGCAA
Molecule: ribosomal RNA, 360 nt
Filed under: uncultured bacterium
Lineage: Bacteria
Description: bacterial SSU rRNA
Rfam family: Bacterial small subunit ribosomal RNA
Source: RNAcentral